CCACUUUGUGAUUCAUGACUGGGGUGAAGUCGUAACAAGGUAACCGUAGGGGAACCUGCGGUUGGAUCACCUCCUUACCUGAAAGAA
Molecule: ribosomal RNA, 87 nt
Filed under: Pluralibacter gergoviae
Lineage: Bacteria; Pseudomonadati; Pseudomonadota; Gammaproteobacteria; Enterobacterales; Enterobacteriaceae
Also listed under: 1 other name
Description: partial 16S ribosomal RNA
Rfam family: Bacterial small subunit ribosomal RNA (bases 1-77)
Source: RNAcentral